RNAcentral lists this ribosomal RNA (588 nucleotides) under uncultured Glomus. RNAcentral describes it as "SSU rRNA". It matches the Rfam family "Eukaryotic small subunit ribosomal RNA", at positions 624 to 1213 of the family's 1831-position model. The record is from RNAcentral. Lineage: Eukaryota; Fungi; Glomeromycota; Glomeromycetes; Glomerales; Glomeraceae.
AAGCUCGUAGUUGAAUUUCGAGAUCAGUACGCUGGUCGUGCCUUCGGUAUGCACUGGUGUCACUGGUUUCUCCCUUCUGAAGAACCGUCAUGUCAUUAAGUUGGUGUGGCGGGGAAUCAGGACUGUUACUUUGAAAAAAUUAGAGUGUUUAAAGCAGGCUCGCGCUUGAAUACAUUAGCAUGGAAUAAUGAAAUAGGACGUUUGACCCUAUUUUGUUGGUUUCUAGGAUCGACGUAAUGAUUAAUAGGGAUAGUUGGGGGCAUUAGUAUUCAAUUGUCAGAGGUGAAAUUCUUGGAUUUAUUGAAGACUAACUACUGCGAAAGCAUUUGCCAAGGAUGUUUUCAUUAAUCAAGAACGAAAGUUAGGGGAUCGAAGACGAUCAGAUACCGUCGUAGUCUUAACCAUAAACUAUGCCGACUAGGGAUCGGAUGAUGUUAAUUUUUUAAUGACUCAUUCGGCGCCUUACGGGAAACCAAAGUGUUUGGGUUCCGGGGGGAGUAUGGUCGCAAGGCUGAAACUUAAAGGAAUUGACGGAAGGGCACCACCAGGGGUGGAGCCUGCGGCUUAAUUUGACUCAACGCGGGGAAA